This 639-nucleotide ribosomal RNA is filed under the name uncultured Bacteroidota bacterium. Its description in RNAcentral is "bacterial SSU rRNA". It matches the Rfam family "Bacterial small subunit ribosomal RNA", at positions 8 to 643 of the family's 1533-position model. Lineage: Bacteria; Pseudomonadati; Bacteroidota. The record is from RNAcentral.
AGAGUUUGAUCCUGGCUCAGGAUGAACGCUAGCGGCAGGCCUAAUACAUGCAAGUCGAGGGGCAGCAGUACUUUUCGGAGUAGCUGGCGACCGGCGCACGGGUGCGUAACGCGUAUGCAAUCUACCCACAGCAGAGGGAUAGCCCGUGGAAACAUGGAUUAAUACCUCAUAAUACAGGGGGCCCACCUGGGCAUAUUGUUAAAGUUUCGACGGCCGUGGAUGAGCAUGCGUCCCAUUAGCUAGUUGGUGCGGUAAAGGCGCACCAAGGCGAUGAUGGGUAGGGGUUCUGAGAGGAUGAUCCCCCACACUGGUACUGAGACACGGACCAGACUCCUACGGGAGGCAGCAGUAGGGAAUAUUGGUCAAUGGACGGAAGUCUGAACCAGCCAUGCCGCGUGCAGGAAGACGGCCUUCUGGGUUGUAAACUGCUUUUAUCAGGGAAGAAAGUGCCCUUGCGAGGGAACUUGCCGGUACCUGAAGAAUAAGCACCGGCUAACUCCGUGCCAGCAGCCGCGGUAAUACGGAGGGUGCGAGCGUUGUCCGGAUUUAUUGGGUUUAAAGGGUGCGUAGGCGGCUUAGUAAGUCAGUGGUGAAAGGUAUCAGCUUAACUGAUGACGUGCCAUUGAAACUACUGGGCUU